UACGGAGGGCGCAAGCGUUGUUCGGAAUUACUGGGCGUAAAGCGCGUGUAGGCGGCCUGACAAGUCGAAUGUGAAAUCCCGGAGCUCAACUCCGGAACUGCAUACGAUACUGUUAGGCUCGAGUCUCGGAGAGGAUGGCGGAAUUUCCGGUGUAGAGGUGAAAUUCGUAGAUAUCGGAAGGAACACCAGUGGCGAAGGCGGCCGUCUGGACGAUGACUGACGCUGAGAAGCGAAAGCGUGGGGAGCAAACAGG
This 253-nucleotide ribosomal RNA is filed under the name uncultured bacterium. RNAcentral describes it as "partial 16S ribosomal RNA". It matches the Rfam family "Bacterial small subunit ribosomal RNA", at positions 524 to 776 of the family's 1533-position model. The record is from RNAcentral.